AGAGCUAAGAACAGAUCAACUCCUAUCGUACGCCUGCCUGGAGACGGGCCAGGUAGGAACCAGGAAGAGCUGCGGAGGAAGAUAGAGAACGGAGUGAAGGAGAUCUGGUACUUUGUCCGCAGUGAGGUCAAGAAGCUGGGUCACAUGGAGCAGGGGGACCUGCAGAAACACAUCGACACACUGCUGCAGGAGCUGGGACACCAGCAGAGGUCCAUCAUGACUGACCUGCACUACCUGAGCCAGGCUGACGGAGCAGGAGACUGGAGAGAGAAGGAGGCCAAGGACCUGUCUGACCUGGUACAGAACAGGAUCACAUACCUCCAGGUACCGUAAUGUCCACCACACAGCUCA
Salvelinus sp. IW2-2015 is the source of this 351-nucleotide long non-coding RNA. RefSeq lists it as uncharacterized. Lineage: Eukaryota; Metazoa; Chordata; Actinopteri; Salmoniformes; Salmonidae. The record is from RefSeq and is a predicted model, not a curated record.